This 648-nucleotide ribosomal RNA is filed under the name uncultured marine eukaryote. RNAcentral's name for it is "SSU rRNA". It matches the Rfam family "Eukaryotic small subunit ribosomal RNA", at positions 613 to 1262 of the family's 1831-position model. The record is from RNAcentral.
UUGUGGUUAAAAAGCUCGUAGUUGGAUCUCGGCGGACUAAGGGCGGUUUGCUUGCUAGUAUUACUGCCCUAUAGUCCGUAGUUUUGCCAGAGGUUUCGGGGUGCUCUUAAUCGAGUGUCCCGGGAUGCUGGCAGGUUUACUUUGAAAAAAUUAGAGUGCUCAGAGCAGGCUAUUACGCCUGAAUAUUCGUGCAUGGAAUAAUAGAAUAGGAAGUCGUUUCUAUUUUGUUGGUUUUCGGAAAUCGACUUAAUGAUUAAUAGGGACAGUCGGGGGCAUUUGUAUUCAAACGACAGAGGUGAAAUUCUUGGACCGUUUGAAGACAGACUACUGCGAAAGCAUUUGCCAAGAAUGUUUUCAUUAAUCAAGAACGAAAGUUAAAGGUUCGAAGGCGAUUAGAUACCGCCCUAGUUUUAACCAUAAACGAUGCCAGCUAGCGAUCUGCGGACGUUUUUUUUGUAGACUCCGCAGGAAGCUUCCGGGAAACCAAAGCAUUUGGGUUCCAGGGGAAGUAUGGUUGCAAAGCUGAAACUUAAAGGAAUUGACGGAAGGGCACCACCAGGAGUGGAGCCUGUGGCUUAAUUUGACUCAACACGGGAAAUCUCACCAGGCCCGGACACUGGAAGGAUUGACAGAUUGAUAGCUCUUUCU